UAGCUAGUUGGUGAGGUAAUGGCUCACCAAGGCGACGAUCCGUAACUGGUCUGAGAGGAUGAUCAGUCACACUGGAACUGAGACACGGUCCAGACUCCUACGGGAGGCAGCAGUGGGGAAUAUUGGACAACGUGGGCGAAAGCCUGAUCCAGCCAUGCCGCGUGUGUGAAGAAGGUCUUCGGAUUGUAAAGCACUUUAAGUUAGGGAGGAGGGUUGUAGAUUAAUACUCUGCAAUUUUGACGUUACCGACAGAAUAAGCACCGGCUAACUCUGUGCCAGCGCCGCGGUAAUACAGAGGGUGCAAGCGUUAAUCGGAAUUACUGGGCGUAAAGCGCGCGUAGGUGGUUUGUUAAGUUGGAUGUGAAAUCCCCGGGCUCAACCUGGGAACUGCAUUCAAAACUGACUGACUAGAAGUGUGGUAGAGGGUGGUGGAAUUUCCUGUGUAGCGGUGAAAUGCGUAGAUAUAGGAAGGAACACCAGUGGCGAAGGCACCACCUGGACCAACACUGACACUGAGGUGCGAAAGCGUGGGGAGCAAACAGGAUUAGAUACCCUGGUAGCCACGCCGUAAACGAUGUCAACUAGCCGUUGGGAGCCUUGAGCUCUUAGUGGCGCAGCUAGCAUUAAGUUGACCGCCUGGGGAGUACGGCCGCAAGGUUAAAACUCAAAUGAAUUGACGGGGGCCCGCACAAGCGGUGGAGCA
This 703-nucleotide ribosomal RNA is filed under the name Pseudomonas cedrina. RNAcentral's name for it is "bacterial SSU rRNA". It matches the Rfam family "Bacterial small subunit ribosomal RNA", at positions 242 to 939 of the family's 1533-position model. Lineage: Bacteria; Pseudomonadati; Pseudomonadota; Gammaproteobacteria; Pseudomonadales; Pseudomonadaceae. The record is from RNAcentral.